This is a long non-coding RNA of Magnolia sinica, 678 nucleotides long. RefSeq lists it as uncharacterized. The record is from RefSeq and is a predicted model, not a curated record. NCBI's taxonomy places the organism in Eukaryota, Viridiplantae, Streptophyta, Magnoliopsida, Magnoliales, Magnoliaceae. The transcript has 2 exons.
AGGGCUACCGUUGCUAUGAUCCGAUUACUCGUUGUGUUCGUGCUUCAAGGAAUGUUGUCUUCUUAGAAAAUUUUCCAUUUCAUACUCUAAUCUUACCAAAUUCAACUACUUCUAAUGAUUUUAGAGGAUUAACCUAGUUUUUUGAUAUCCCACAUGUUGCAAGUUUAUCUUUUGCUCAUUUAUAGAUCUGUCAACGAGAAGAAAUAGAAGCGCUCCAUCUUCCAUCACCUCCUGCUAAUCAACUUGCGGCCGAUCCAUCCCUUCCAAAGCGCCUUUUAGUUUGGGGCAGCAUUUCCUAUGGGUGGCGCCUAGCUUUGAUCAAUCUUGCCCGUUCAUAUGGUGGCCUUAAAGAGAAUGUGUGAGUGGACCACAAGAAGAGCUCCACUUCAGUCUUCAGAUUGGUUAGCAGUUUCCAAUGGCUGUUGUCUAUAUUUUACUUCUGACUCUUUCAAGGAACCGAUGACUAGAAUUGCAUGAUAUGGUUAUUUUGGGUUCAUUAAGCUGCUAUCCAUGUUUGAAAUGGUGAUGCAACUUGCAGGUCUUUUAAAAAUGUAUUUCCUUUGUAUAAGUAGUGUUUUAAGUAUCGACGAUAUCGGCCGAUAUAUCUCACGAUAUAUCUUGUAUCCCACAUGUGUGAUAUGAAACAUACAAGUAGUGUAUCCCGCAUAUUCGAUUUGA